CGCCCCCAAUGUAAUAACGACAAAUUCAGAUUUACUAUGAUGUGAACACAAUUAGUCAGCUACCUACGCUAAGCAAAAUAGUUCCAAAACUUCGCAGUAACUCCAAAAUCAUAGUUCCCUAUCUAUUUUAAAAUUGACUGGCCAAUUUUGUACUAAAUUUAGCAAUCGUCUUUUAAAAUUGUAUGUAUAUUUUUGCUUUACGCGAUUUUAAUAUUACUACGCCAGCGGUCGAUCAUAGCCAAAGUACUUGCAUAAAUAUAGUACAAAUUACAUGUAGUCACAAGUUAAUUAAGUGUCAUAGAACUCAAAAAUUUAGCAAGUAAUGGAAUACGGAUUUCAGAUCAGCUAACUUUAAAGCUUAUAGGGCCUAAUGCUUCAUAAGUGUAAAUUUAAGAAAAACAAUGCAUGCGUAUGAAUACGAACUAUUUUCGCCCUUACGUCAUUUUACCGCAAUCGCCAUUGUUUACAAGUUCAUCCGUGAAAGAUUGAGAAGUUUAUAUAGAAUUUCCACGUGUUAAAACGAGUUGUUUGUGAAUAAAGGCUUGUUUGUUAGAUUUCAAUUGUGGCUCAGUUGGUUGUUUGCUGAGAAGCUGUGAAACAUAAUUAUACAGGCCAUUAAGGAGGUUUUUGUCAGAUUGAUGAAUGUGAAAUUAAGAGGACCCAUUUUGAGGAUGCUUUUUAUGAAUGGAAUCACGAGAGAUGAAGUCUAAAAUGUGAUACUGUCAAUGUGACUAACCUUGAAGUAAACAGAUGACACAAUGUUUUUUCAAUGUCAUGGGCAUAUAAUGAAGAGAAAACAGAGAUGCUUGUUUGACAGAUACAGUAAUAGUAGGAGUUAUGAGGGAAGAUAGAAUGCAGUGAUAACUAUAUUGAGGCACCACUUCAUCACCAAGAACAUGAAAUGAAUUAUCAAUGUUUUCGGUGUGUUUGAACACCCAUUUUAAAUAAUACAGCUCAGAGUGAAUUUUUCAAAAUAAUUAAUUCUGUUUUCAAAGUUUUUUAUUUUAGAUCUUAGUUGAUCUUGUCAAGUACUUAAUUUUUUUAGGGAUGGCAACAAUUACUAAAAUCAAUACUCGAGUACUCGGUCAUUUAGAGUAUUCGGUUACUGGGAUGAUUUCCAAUGAUCUUUAAAUUUUUAUCACACAAUAUCAACACCGUCUGCAUGCUACCUUCAUUUCUAUUUUAAUUCAUAGAAUUUGUAGCUAUAAAUAGGAUUGCAAGAAAUACAUAUAAUAAAUAUAAGCAUAAGAAAUGUCAAUGACAGCAUUUAUUAUAUACCUAUAAAUUUUUCUUCCUAAAACACAGGAUUAUCUUGAAGCGCAAAUAGUUUUCAACGGUUAGAAAAUUCUGUAUUAUGUUAGAGACAAAUACAGUACCAUAUAUGAAAGGCCUGGACUAUUUUUAUGCUCCCCAAAAAAUUUCGGGUGAGCAUAUAGUCGCCGCCUUGUCCGUCCGUCCGUCCAUCCCCUUUUCUUGUCCGGGACUUAACUUUGAAACAACAACAGGUAUUAACAUGAAACUUUGUAGGUAGAUAGAUCUCAUUGAGUAGGUGUGCAGUGCACAAGAACCUUAACUCUGCCUUGCUUAAUUUUUGAAUUAUUCCCCUUUGUUUAUUUUACACUUUGAACUUUGUCCGGGACAUAACUCUAAAACUAUAAGAGGUAUCAACAUGAAACUUUGUAGGUAGAUAGAUCUAAUUGAGUAGGUGUGCAGUGCACAAGAACCGUAACUCUGCCUUGUCUAAUUUUUGAAUUAUUCCCCUUUGUUUAUUUUUACACUUUGAACUUUGUCCGGGACAUAACUCUAAAACUAUAAGAGGUAUCAACAUGAAACUUUGUAGGUAGAUAGAUCUAAUUGAGUAGGUGUGCAGUGCACAAGAACCGUAACUCUGCCUUGCUUAAUUUUUGAAUUAUACCCCUUUGUUUAUUUUACACUUUGAACUUUGUCCGGGACAUAACUCUAAAAGUAUAAGAGGUAUCAACAUGAAACUUUGUAGGUAGAUAGAUCUCAUUGACUUGGUAUGCAGUGUACAAGAACCGUAACUCUGCCUUACCUAAUUUUUGAAUAAUCCCCCUUUGUUUAUUUUAUACUUUGAAAUUUGUCCGGGACAUAACCUUUAAACUAUAAGAGGUAUCAACAUGAAACUUUGUAGGUAGAUAGAUCUCAUUGACUUGGUAUGCAGUGCACAAGAACCGUAACUCUGCCUUGCCUAAUUUUUGAAUUAUCCCCCUUUCUUUAUUUUACACUUUGAACUUUGUCUCUAAAACUAUAAGAGGUAUCAACAUGAAACUUUGUAGGUAGAUAGAUUUCAUUGAGUUGGUAAGCAGUGCACAAGAACCUUAACUCUCCCUUGCCUAAUUUUUGAAUUAUCCCCCUUUGUUUAUUUUUACACUUUGAACUUUGUCUGAGACAUAACUCUCAAUGUAAAAGAGAUAUCAACAUGAAACUUUGUAGGUAGAUAGAUAUCGUUGAGUAAGUUUGCAGUGCACAAGAACUGUAACACUGUCUUGCCUACUUUUGGAGUUAUUGCCCUUUGAUCAUUUUGACACUUUGAACUUUGUCCGGGACAUUACUCUAAGCAGUGCUUAAGAAUUAUUACUCUGCCUUGCCUUAUUUUGAAGUAAUUGCCCUUUGUUUAUUUUUACUUUUUGACUUUUGUACGAGACAUAACUUUAAAACUAUUAGAGAUAUCAACAUGAAACUUUGUAGGUAGCUAGAUAUAAUUGGAUAGAACUGCAAUGCUUAAAGAACCUAAAGAAAGCCUGGUCUAAUUUUGGAGUUAUUACCGUAAUUUCAUUUUUACACUUUGAAUUUUACCUUGGACAUAACUCUGAUAUCAUCAGGCAACUUUAUAGAUGGAUAGAUCUAAUUGAAUAGAAGUGCAGUGCAAAAAAAAAACAUAACUCCGCUUUGCCUAAUUUUGGGGUUUUUGCCCUUUGUUCAUUUUUUUUACACUUUCCAGUGUCCAGAACCUUCUCGGGGAGCAUCACCCGGUUCAACCGGUUCUUGUUAAUGUUGGUUCUGAUCUUAGCUGUGUAUAACAUAGUAUAUGGAAACGGCAACCAAAAUAAUAAAAGUGUGGCUGGUUUUGCACAAAUUACGUAUUCAUCUGUCAGUCAUAAUUUAUUUCUUGACAGCUACAUUUCUUUUUCUGAAAUUUCUUAUAUAAGUGUAGUAUAAUGAAAAUCAUUUAUACUUCAAACGAAAAGGUAUAUUAUUAAAGGAAAAUUAUGUUGUAGUAGCUUUCUGAGGCUAUGCAUUUUUCUACUUGCAAUGUUGGAAAAUUGUUAUCUAGCUCGCCCUUUAGUCUCGCAAGAUAUCAAUUUCCCACCGCUGCUCAUAGCAAAAUAAAAAGCCUCAGAGAGCUACUACAACAUAAUAUUCUGUAUAUAUAUUUUUUUAUAAUUAACAAGUUUGGGCUAUCCUUGAACUUUUUUUUUAUUUAAUCAAGAUUGAUUUUUUUAAAAUAUAUUUAUAUGAAUGCAUGCAGCUUUGAAAUAGAUUUUACUUAUGUAUAUUUGGCAGCAAUUUCACAUGUAGCUCUUCGAAAAAAAAUCACUUGAGCAAAAAAAAUUUUAUAGGCAUAAAGUGAUACCCGUUCUGUCAUCAUCAGUUUUUGGUUUUUAGCUCACCUGAGCUUGCUCAGGGUGAGCUUUAAGGAUCGGUGAAUGUCCGUCGUCCGUCCACAAUUGCUUGUCUCAAUCAUCAUCAAACUUGGUCAGGAUGCUUAUCUAGUUGAAAGCAUGGAUGAGUUCGAACAUAAGUCAUCUCGGAUGAAAGGCUAGGUCACAAGAGCUAAAAAAAGAAAAACCUUGUGAACACUGUAGAGGUCACAUUUUUGACCCAAUCAUCAUUAAACUUGGUCAGGAUGUUUGCCUAGGUGAUAGCUCGGAUGAGUUCGAACAUGGGUCAUCUCUGAUGAAAAAGUAGGUCACAGGAGCUAUAAAUAGAAACACCUUGUGAACACUCUAGUGGUCACAUUUUUAAACCAAUCAUCAUCAAACUUGGUCAGAAUGCUUGUCUAGUCAAUUGCUUGGAUGAGUUUGAACAUGGGUCAUCUCUGAUGAAAAACUAGGUCACAGGAGCUAAAAAUAGAAAAACCUUGUGAACACUCUAGUGGUCACAUUUUUGACCCGAUCAUCAUCACACUUUGUCAGGAUGCUUAUCUGGUUGAUAGCUCGGUGAGUUCGAACAUGGGUCAUUUAGGAUGUAAAACUAGGUCACCAGAGCUAUAAAUAGAAAAACCUUGUUAACACUCUAGCAGUCACAUUUUUGCAUCAAUCAUCAUCAAACUUGGUCAGGAUGCUUAUCUAGUUGAUAUCUUGGAUGAGUUUGAACAUGGGUCAUCUCAGAUGAAAAUGUAGGUCACCGGAGCUAAAAAUAGAAAAACAUUGUUAACAAUCUAGCGGUCACAUUUUUGCAUCAAUCAUCAUCAAACUUGGUCAAGAUGCUUGUCUAUGUGAUAGCUCUGGUGAGUACAAACAUGGGUCAUCUCGGAUGAAAAAGUAGGUCACCGGAGCUAAAAAUAGAAAAACCUUGUUAACACUCUAGCAGUCACCUUUUUGCAUCAGUCAUCAUCAAACUUUUGUCAAGAUGUUUGUCUAGUUGAUAGCUCGGAUGAGUUUGAACAUGGGUCAUCUUGGAUGAAAAAGUAGGUCACCUGGGGUAGAAAUAGAAAAACCUUGUUAACACUCUUGUGGUCACAUUUUUGCAUCAAUCAUCAUCAAACUUGAUUAAGAUGCUUGUCUAGGUGAUAGCUCGGAUGAGUUCGGAAAUGGGUCAUCUCGGAUGAAAAACUAGGUCACAGGAGCUAAAAAUAGAAAAACCUUGUCUACACUCUAGUGGUCUCAAUUUUGACUCAAUUGUUAGCAAACUUGGUCAGGAAACUUGCCUAGGUCAUUGCUGGGAAUAAAUCGAACAUGGGACAUCUCGGAUGAAAAACUAGGUCACAGGAGAUAAAAAUAGAAAAAUCUUGUUAACACUCUAGUGGCUACUGUUGUGAUCCAAAUAUUCUGUUAAUUGGUCUAAAAGUUUGUUUUGAUGAUUUCUAAGUCAAGAUCCAACAUGGGUCAUCUCGGAUGAAAAACUAGGUCACGCCGCCCAAAUAUGGAAAAGCCUUGUUAACAUUCUACUGGUUACAUUUUCGACUCAAUUAUCAUCAAACUUGGUCAGGAUGCUUGUCUAGGUAAUUGCUUGGAUGAGUUCGAAAUCGCAUGUGAAACUAGGUCACCGGAGCUAAAAAUAGAAAAAUCUUGUUAACACUCUUGUUGCUACUGUUUUGAUCCAAGUAUCCUGGAAAUUGGUCUGACAGUUUGUUUGAUGAUUUUUAGGUCAAGUUUGAAUAUGUGUCACCUGAGUAAAAACAAGGUCGCACUUCUCAAAUAUGGAUAAUCCUUGUUAACACUGUAGUGGUCACAUUUUUGACUCACCUGUCGUGAGACUUGGUCAGAAUGUUUGUCUAGGUAAUUGUUUGGAUGAGUUUGAUAAGUCAGGUGAGCGAUCUAGGGCUAUCAUGGCCCUCUUGUUUUGUAUGGUUUUAUUUAAGAAAUAUUUUGUUCCAGUUAUUUACAGAUGUUUGUAUGAUUAUUGGAUUAAAGUUAAAGUACA
Long non-coding RNA from Ruditapes philippinarum (Manila clam), 5607 nucleotides. RefSeq lists it as uncharacterized. Lineage: Eukaryota; Metazoa; Mollusca; Bivalvia; Venerida; Veneridae. The transcript is spliced from 4 exons. The record is from RefSeq and is a predicted model, not a curated record.